Non-coding RNA from Cyanistes caeruleus (blue tit), 734 nucleotides. The record is from RefSeq and is a predicted model, not a curated record. Lineage: Eukaryota; Metazoa; Chordata; Aves; Passeriformes; Paridae.
GACCCAUGAUACAGGAAAAAUGCAGAGGAUUAGGAACGCUUUCCCUGGUUGCUCAGGCAACAGAAAGACAUGGGAAUAUGAAAAGGACUUAAGAAUCUAAGAAGCAUGAACACAUCUGGGCAGCCAAGUGGGUGUCCCUCUGUAAAUUGGAAGCUGGGGGAAAAGGACAAAACCUGGGCACCAGGGUUUCAGGAUUAGUGCCAGUGGCAGGUGAGACUUUGCCCAAUACUUAUGAAAAUGGACACACCUUUCUUUUUUUUUUCCAUUUAUUUUUAGCUCAGCAUGUUAUGAAAUAAGGGCUCUGUUCAGAUUCUAUCAAUGGACUGUUUCAUAUUUAACGUUUCAGAGUUGCCCAUGUCUGGUUCAUCAGUGUGAAGCCAGCAAUGUUUGACUUGUGCUUGCUCUUGCUUCAGGCACCUCUGCUCGGCUGAAUAAUUAACAGCAGCUCCUGCUGCUCUCUUGUAGGCUGGGGUUUAUCAGCCAUGAAGAAGUCCCAGUCUGUUAGUGAUCCUGAUUUGCGAUAAUUUCUAUCCACUUUAUGACUUCAAACUGGAAACAAUAUCAAGGUGGGGUUUGUAUUGCCCAGCUGCUUCCCCGAGGCAGCCCAGCAUCAGCAAGGACAGCCUGUUCCAGCUCCGACCUCUGUAAACACCGACAGAUCUCCUCCAGAUACCCAGCUGUUGCGAUCGUGAAAGGACAUGUCUUUGGGCCCUCCUCCCUCCGCCUCCACAUUG